Molecule: long non-coding RNA, 4326 nt
Organism: Manis javanica (Malayan pangolin)
Lineage: Eukaryota; Metazoa; Chordata; Mammalia; Pholidota; Manidae
Source: RefSeq, a predicted model, not a curated record
GAGGUGUGGAAUUAGGGCAUAAACCACUGUGGCUGGUGCCAGGAGAGGUAAGCUGAAACCGUGAGAACAGGACAGAGAUCAGAGGAAGCAGAAAUGAAUCAGAUACCACAGGAAUGGAAUUGCUGGGUCAUAUGGACACUCCGUGUUUAACUUUAUGGAGAGCCACCAAGAUGUUUUCCACAGAAGCUGCACCAUUUUAUAUUCCCCACCAGCAAUGCACAAGGGUUCCAGUUUCUCCUCAGAGUCAUCAGCACUUGGGUAAGAAAAGUUCAGAGGGGGGACACCGGCCAAGAUUUCCAGUGGACGCCUGCAACUGAGGAUAGUACUGAGCCCUAUACAUGCUACUUUUUCCCACAUGUGCACAACACCUAUGAUAAAGUUUAAUUUAUACGUUAGGCACAGUAAGAGAUUAACAACAGUAACUAAUUAUAAAAUAGAAAAAUUACAACAAUGUACUAUAAUAAAAAUGAUGAGAAUGUGGUUUCUUUCUCUGUCUUUCUCAAAAUAUCUGACUGUAUUAUACUCACCCUUCCCCUUGUGAGGAUGUGAGAUAAAAUGCCUACAUGAUGAGAGGCAGUGAGGUGAAUGACGUAGACAUUGUGAGCAGGAUAGGCUGCCACUGACCUUCUAACAGUAGGUCAGAAGGAGGAUCACCUCAGGUUAACUGAAACCUUGGAAAGUGAAUUCAUAGAUAAAGGGGGUUACUUACUUCAGUCUUCCGAGCUGGGAGCAGCUGGGACUACAGACUGACCUCCUCUAACCCUGGAGCUUCCCACCCAUAAAAAAAAAAGCAAACAAAACUAACUAACAACUUUUCCUAAAACCAAACUUCCUUAUUGUCUUUUUCAGGUUUGAAUGAGAUGUCUGCCCCUUUGUUUAAGAAUAGAAAAACUAGAGGCCGCCUUUUUUGCCCAAGGCGUUUGGGGUGUGUUUAAGAAAGGAGGAAAGUAGAAUCAGUUCUGUUUGUUCUUGGGGUUUCGAAAUGAUGGGUGGUUCUUAUGUUUAUGCUCCAAUGGCAUUUAUGUGAGUUUCUACAACCCUUAAAACUUUUGGAGGAGACACCUGUUUCCGCUUCACCUCUGCCUUUCCCCAGUCGCAGUUUCUUAGGUUCAAUUAGUAAACAGUUGUGGAAAAUAUAAAUUUGAGGCUAGACAAUCUCUGGUGAUCAGAUAGGGGAUAAAUUCAAAGCCUGAAAAACAGCACUGUCCAUCCUACUCCUUUCUCCCCAGGUCCAAGUGGGGUGAGGGGGUAGGCUUAGCUGGAACCAUUGGGGCGGUUACACUGGAUUCUCCACUUCUGGUUCAGUUUAUUCACUAGCUGGGCCGGGCCACUUGGCCUCUUUACACUUCAGUUGUUUACCUAUGGAAUGGGAAUGCAUAAUUCCCACCUGGAUUUGUUAGGAUCUGCUUAGUGUACAUGAGAGAAAGCCACUCUCACCACUGUGGCUUUCAAGAGAUGGGAGUCUGUGACUAGAAUAGUACAUCCUGCUGUCAAGGCUCCUGGCCCCUUCUGCCUUAUUGCUCUGUGGUGCCCAAGCUCAUCAUGUGGUCCAAGAGAGCUGCCAUUCUUUUCCAGCGACAGGCAGUGUGCCAGCUGGGGAAAGGGAAAAGGGAAAACACCCCUUCCCUUUAAAGGCUGUUCUCCUAAAAUCUCAUUGGCCAGAACUUCACUGUUGGAUCAGACUGCCUGCCAGGGAAGCUUGGAAAUGUGUUCUCUAUUCCAUGUGGCCAUGGGCAGUUAAAUCCUGGAAGAAGAUUUACUCAGGGAGAAGGCCCACUGGAGAUGUUUGUCACAGCACCUGUCGGAGCUGCUGUGAAGAAAAAGGGGUGCCACCGGGGAAGACUGAACUGGGUUGUUUUUUCUUUUUGGCACAUAAAUCAGCCUGUUAAUUUGCCAACUAAAAAUUCCAGGAGACCACUGUCUGGUUUAAAAGCCAUGGUGAGUAAAUCGAAAUCCAGGUUCCAAGUCGAAUUGGACUCCUGGUCAUUGUAAGAACAGGAGGAUUCCUGUUGUGUGACCAAACCGCCCCACUUGAUUAGCAAGGAAACUAUUAAAGUGGCCAGGUGUUGCUUAGCAAUGAAACCAUUGAAGUGGCCCGGUGUUGCCUUUUGCCUCCUACUCCAGAUGCUGGGCUGUGGGUGGUGGCCUGCCAGGACUCCAGGACACUGGUUAUGCACCGAAUGGGGAAAAUGUAGCUAUAGUUAGGAUGCACCAGCCUUAAACAAGCAACCAUCCAACUCAAACUGGCUUAAAUUUAUUUUUGUUUGUUUAUUAGAUUCCACAUCUAGGUCAGAUCAUGCAAUAUUUGUCUUUCUGUGUGUGACUCAUUUCACUUAGCAUAUUGUCCUCCAGGUUCAUCUGUGUUGUCACAAGUGGAAUUUGACUUUUUUCCCCAAAACUGGCUGAAGUUUAAAGAGGGAAUUUGUUGGCUUUUGACAGUACAAAGUCCAGAGGCAGGUAGCCGUCACACGUGGCGGGACCUAAGGAUUCACCAACCUCAAGAUUAGGUCUGCUACUGUGUCCCCCUGUCUCUGCCCGUCUCUUUCCCCCUCUCUCUCCCUCCACCCCUGUGUGGACUUUGUUCUUAAGCAGGUUCUUCCCACAUGCCUGUUCUUGCCACUGUCACUUUGGCAAACUCAAAACAGCAUACUUGUUUCCUUGUGGGCAAAAAUGGAUGCCCUCCACAGUAUGGGAUUUGGUGUCUUUAAUCCCUCUUAACGGGUAGAAUAGUGACCACUGGGAACUCCCUCAGCAGUUCUUUAGGCUCAUCAAUUUAAGGAUAGUGUGGCCUGGGGCCUCACAGGAUGUCAGAGACCUGGGUGAUCUCAUCCCCAGCACACCACUGGCUUUCUGGCUCACCACACCCCUUUGAAAAGAUUAACCAGGUAAUUUAGAUAAUAUCCCCUUUCACUUGAGACUAACCACUGAUCCAGUCCCUAAACUCUAUAGGUGGGGAAGCUGAAGCCUAGAGAGGAGAAAUCCUGUGUGUUAAUUUGAAUUCCCCCAACAACAGGGAUAAAGGUGCAGGGGGUUUGUUUGUGGUCCUUGGAAGCAGGAGUGAGGGUGUGGGGAGAGCAAGACAUGCAGAGAAGCCAGUAUAGGGCAUGGUAUUGGACUUGUCACCCUCGCAAUAAGGGUUUUACCCACCGGGAUCUCUGAAAAGGUACAGAUACCUCCCAGAACCGUCCAGCAGCAGAAGGGGAGACUUGAAGUCCCCGAGCAGACAGAAGCCCAAAGAACUGUCCCAGUAGCUGAAACCAGAGAUGCACUGUGGAGGUGUGACAUGGGAUACCAAAGGUGUUUGCAACAGUGGCCCAGCCAGGCAGCAGCCCACCUGUGAUGAGAACAGACACCCAGUCCCAGCUGGGAGCUCGCUUGCUCCCCCGAAGCUGUGGCAGUGCCCCCACCAUGCGGCCCAUCCUCUCCUCCCUGGCUCCCUGCUCUUGUCGGAUCAGAGCAGCCUUCUGUCUUCGUGGCCACAGGCUCGCCUUUCUGUGAGAUGGCAGGGUCUCCUCUCCCAUUUACAGGGAAACCCAGUCUUGUGCCCUCCUGCUUCUAUGCUCCCCUCGCCUUCCCACCCCUUUGUGCUCCAACAGCUGGCUUUGUGCCUAAGACUAUCCCAGCCUUUUUUCCCCAGGUCCCACCCCCCACAACAAACACAAACCCCCUGAUGGGGUACCAGAAUUCGAAUUAGAGAUGAACUUUCUGCCUUGCAGUCUUUUGUGCUCCCUCCUGCCCUGCAUAUCUUGUCCUUCCCAGAAUUUCUCCCCCAGCUGGCAUAAGCAGCCUAUCAACAAAAGAUAGGCAUGGUCUUUGUGUUUUAGCGCAACAGCUGUAGAAUUUAAUCAGGAUCCACACCACCCAUUGGUGGCCUGGAGGUGGCCCAGAAGGUCUGGACCCUGAGCGUGCCCUGUCUGAUGGGAACAGGGUCCAAGUCCAGUCCCUCUCCCAGGGAGCCCAGGUGUGCCCUGUCUGGUGGGAACAGGGUCUGGGUCCUGUCCCUCUACCACCUAGGCUUGGGUGGGAACCCAGCCGCUAUCACAUGAGCAAACGCAGGCCUAAGCCAGCCAUAUGAUAGUUUUACUUCCAGGGGCCUUUUCUGUUUCUCUUUUUGUCUUAAUAAUUAAAAGACUAUCUUUUAGCAAGUUUUAGGGUUACAGAAUAACUGAGCUGUUUUAUCAGGUGGUGGUUCCUGGGAGGGGUGAGGUCGGAGAGUUUCUGGAGUGGUCCCUACCACACUGUAAGCAGCCCACUGCCCAGCUGGGUGUGCCAGACCUUGGUGCCAGGGAGGCUCAGCCUGGUGCCGUCGAGCCUAUAGCCCCUCUC